UUCAAAAUCUAUUUCUCUCUUUCCUUAUUCCUCUCGGAUUAAAGUCUUUUCUCUUUUCCAUUGUUUUGAAUAUUUUUUUUCCUAAGAUCUAAGGUUUUAACUUUUCAUUUGCCGACUUCACCGAAACUAAAACUCAAGUAAUGACCCAAUAUUGGAAUCAUACUUGAUGGUUUAGAACCCUAUUCCAUUUUCAAAAACUUUUCUAUUUUCAUAAAGGGCUCGUUUGAUUCACUGGAAAUAUACUGUUGAACAAGAAAAUUGUUUUAAAUAUUUAAAAUAUUUCCAUUUCAUCAAAUGUGCAAAUAUUUUUUGUAACGUUGAAGACAUUUCAGAAAAAAAUUUCCGGAAACAUCUUUCCACCGUGAGAGGUGGAAAGAUAUUUUCUGUUUUUUUUUUUUGCCCGUUAGGGCAUGCAAAGGCCAUCUUCUUGUCCUCAGCUGCUUCACCCCACCCACGAGAGAGAGAGGAAUGCUGCUCCUGCUGUUGCUGCCUUCCUUCGUUGCUGCUGCCUCAGAUGCAUCCGUCGUCCCUCUCACCCUCUCAUUCUCUUGCUGUUGGAUCUGGAAAAGUUGCCUCAAGAAACAUCAUCAACUCCUUGCAAGGGCUGAAAAUCAAAUGGGUACUAGCAUCAGUUCUACAAGUAAGCAAAACUUAUGGAACCAUAUGCGCGUUGACAACAACUGUGUUUCAUCUUGGCUUGGUUAAUCCUUACUAUAUUGCUCUAAUAUAUAGUGAAGUGCUUCAAUGCUUUCAGGUAUCUCUAAAUGUUUGGGGGUUUCGGCGUAUGGUACCUUUUUGGCUUCUGACUUAUUAGAAUAUAUGAUUUAGAUUAAUUUGGGUCACAUUUAGAGUGCAAAAAUGAGAGGUUGAAUGGAAAGGAAAAAGCAAAGACAUUUUUUGGUUAAUGGUUUCAUACUAGAAAUAUUCCUUAUAUGGAGUUUUUUGUGUUAUUUCUUGAAUGUCUCAACUUGCAAAACCUUUUUUGCCACUUUAAUGAGUUAUUUUAAUUUUUUUGCAGAUAUGGAGGGUCAUUACAAAUUUUUUAUUCCUUGUUAAGUUCACUAUUAAUUAUGGAAUCAUCUCGAUGAUGUAAGUUGUCUAUAGAUAAUCAAGUAUUAGUUGAGGGUAUAAAAAAGGUUCUUGUUGCUUUAGCUUUAAAGUUUUAAUUGUCCAGCAUCCGUUAGAAAGCUCUAAAAGAAUUUAAUUUUACACGACUCAUAGCUAGAUAUCAAGUCCAACUGGAACAAGGGCCCUUUGCUAGGCCAACUGCUGAAUUUUUAUGGAUGAUAAUCUUUGGAGCCAGUUGGUUGAUGGCUUGUGCUUUUUCUUUUGUUCUCUAGUAUAUUUCAAUUUUGAAAUUGAUGUUCAAGUUGUCCUUCUGAAAUAUGUCCUCUCCAUUGUGGAAGCUUAAGCCUAUUAGACUACUAACUCUCUAAUGUUAAUGUUUCAGGCAUUUUCCAUUGUUCUGCAGAUGAUGCCAUUUUUCCUAGGAGUAUCACUGGUUUUCAUGCUUUUGUAUGUAUGGAGUAGAGCAUAUCUAAAUGCUCAAAUUAACAUAUAUGGCCUUGUUACUCUAAAGGUACUGAAAAAACUAGUUCCUUAGAUUGUUAAAGUACGUUAUUUGGCCAUGGUGUGUACCUGUUAGCUAAUUUUGAGAACCCAUCAACUUCCAUCUGCAUAUGUUUUUUUUCUAGGAAAAUGCUUACGUAACAAAAUGUGGUCAUGCAGGCUUUUUAUCUGCCCUGGAUAGUACUAGCGUUGGACGUCAUCUUUGGAUCUCCUUUGCUUCCACAUCUAAUGGGGAUUGUUGCAGGUCAUCAUUAUUACUUCUUAACUGUGCUCCAUCCAUCCGUUGGAGGGAGAAACCCUUAAGUUUUUUUUUUUUCCUUGAAAAAUGGAGGGGCCUGUAGCGGUGACAAUAGUCACUACUAAACAUACCAUUUCCACGUAACAGACCAUAUUGCCAACAACUUCCACCCUCGCCAACAAAGUGGCAAGUAUUGCCAAUAACAUUAUUGGCAACGGCAGCCUGGAUUAUCCCCUACGGUGAGGGUCAUUGCCUAUGAUGUUAUUCGCAACGACUUUGUGGCUAUUUGCAAUGGCCAAAUAACAAUGUUUGUAGUAGUGCAAACAAUUAUUUCGCAUCUUUGGAGCCAAUUCUGAUGGCAAAGCCUGAAAAUAAGACUUUGAAUAUCAGAUGCAAAACAAAAUGAAGAAAAAAAAAAACUUGCUAGAUGCUAAUCUAAUAUUAGAAAGUUUAACCACUUACUUUUUUCAGGGCCCUCACAAUACCACAUGCCCACAUGCAACAGAAAAGCUAAUCCAUUAUAUUCAACUCUUUGCAGAAGCAUGGAUAUUCUAUCUUUGCUUACUACAAACACUGUCUAAUUCUCAUAAACUAAAAGGCCCCAUCAGAAGUUCUAAACCAAACAGGAAGAAUCUCCAACCCUUUAAAUAUAGAAGAGAAACAAUACUUUUGGCACUAUACCAUCAUGAGGUAGACAUAACAAUUCAGUUUGCCAUUUCCCAUAGAGUUCCAGAGUUCCUUUGCUAUCAUUCACCUUGAGCUCAUCACCAUCUUGAAAUGCUUGUACUCUAUUGACUUUUCAAGUGUGUUUCACCACCUGAAAGACUCAUACUGGACACUGAUCAAAUUAGAAUGAAUAGCUGGUGGAAGAUAGUCCUUUUUCAAAUUUGAACAUGUUGAAACAUACUGAAGGGAAUUGUAGUGCCUAACUUUUGCUGGAAGUUUGAACUUCCUUGACUUGCAACCCUUCUUGCAGCCACCUCUGUUUUGAGCAUACUGUUUGCACACAAUUUCGGGGAUACACAGGUUGACCAGAACAUAACCAAACAAAGGACCCUUGGGAUAAAAAACCUGAUACUUUGUCAACCACCAUUCUGCAUAAGCGCACUGACAUCAUUAACAAUGAAAGAGAUGGAUUGUUUUCAUGCAGUUCAAUGCACAUAGGAAUGUCACCUUGGUGCACUAAGAAAAAUAGUAAUAUUCGGCUCUUUUUAAAUUUAACAAGUUAAUCAUUGCAGUCAUAAGAAAUAAUAAACGACCAUAUAUAGGGAAUUUUGACGGAUAAUAUUUUACCAAUGUACAUUUGAAAAGACAAUAAUGAGGCUUGUAGAGCUUUGUUGCUCAAAACAAUCGGUAAAUUUGUAAUAAAGGGAAAGGAUAUUUUAUUUUAAAGGAGAGAUACUUCUCAAGGUAAAGUUAC
This is a long non-coding RNA of Nymphaea colorata (pocket water lily), 3227 nucleotides long. RefSeq lists it as uncharacterized. The record is from RefSeq and is a predicted model, not a curated record. The transcript is spliced from 3 exons. NCBI's taxonomy places the organism in Eukaryota, Viridiplantae, Streptophyta, Magnoliopsida, Nymphaeales, Nymphaeaceae.